Molecule: ribosomal RNA, 381 nt
Filed under: uncultured bacterium
Lineage: Bacteria
Description: bacterial SSU rRNA
Rfam family: Bacterial small subunit ribosomal RNA
Source: RNAcentral
AACGAACGCUGGCGGCGCGCCUAACACAUGCAAGUCGAACGAGAAGCUGUAGCAAUACAGUUGUACAGUGGCGAACGGGUGAGGAAUACAUGGGUGACCUACCCUCGAGUGGGGAAUAACCAGCCGAAAGGUUGGCUAAUACCGCGUACGUUUCCCAGUCUGCGGAUUGGGAAGGAAAGCGAUGCCGUGGGUAUCGCGCUCAAGGUUGGGCUCAUGUCCUAUCAGCUGUUGGUGAGGUAACGGCUCACCAAGGCAACGACGGGUAGCUGGUCUGAGAGGACGAUCAGCCACACUGGCACUGCGACACGGGCCAGACUCCUACGGGGAGGCAGCAGUGAGGAAUAUUGCGCAAUGGGCGAAAGCCUGACGCAGCGACGCCGC